GACGAACGCUGGCGGCGUGCUUAACACAUGCAAGUCGAACGAUGAAGCCUUAGCUUGCUUUGGUGGAUUAGUGGCGAACGGGUGAGUAACACGUGAGCAACGUGCCCAGGACUCUGGAAUAACCGCGGGAAACCGUGGCUAAUACCGGAUAGGUGCCGAGGCCGCAUGGUCUUCGGUUGGAAAGUUUUUGCGGUUCUGGAUCGGCUCACGGCCUAUCAGCUUGUUGGUGGGGUAAUGGCCUACCAAGGCGACGACGGGUAGCCGGCCUGAGAGGGUGACCGGCCACAAUGGGACUGAGACACGGCCCAGACUGCUACGGGAGGCAGCAGGGGGGAAUAUUGCAAAAUGGGCGGAAGCCUGAUGCAGGAACGGCGCGUGGGGGAUGACGGCCUUCGGGUUGUAAACCUCUUUUAGUAGGGAAGAAGCGCAAGUGACGGUACCUGCAGAAAAAGCACCGGCUAACUACGUG
This 469-nucleotide ribosomal RNA is filed under the name uncultured bacterium. Its description in RNAcentral is "partial 16S ribosomal RNA". It matches the Rfam family "Bacterial small subunit ribosomal RNA", at positions 28 to 507 of the family's 1533-position model. The record is from RNAcentral.